This 892-nucleotide long non-coding RNA is filed under the name Homo sapiens (human). RNAcentral describes it as "non-protein coding LINC01770:14". The record is from RNAcentral. Lineage: Eukaryota; Metazoa; Chordata; Mammalia; Primates; Hominidae.
ACCGCGGGGCCGUGCGGACGGCCAGCACUCGACUUUGCCUAAAAAAGGAAGCAGCAGGCUGAGGCUGAGGAGCUGGCGGCAGGAACAAGGGAGAGCUGUGUCCCCGCCGGCGCCCCCCACCCCCCCUGCCGGGGAUCUUGGCAGUGGAGGUGCUGGCUGCGCUCCACAGACCUCAGACCUCGGCUGGGACCAGAAAUGCCUGGUGCUUCCGCCUGGGCCCGGUGGGGGGACUUUGGGUCCCCAGAGUGCAAGCUGUACCACUUCGAGGGGCCUCGCCAGGCCCCCCAGCCCCCAGUACACAGGGGCUGCCGUGGAGAUGACGCUGAAGGCCGCAGCCGCUGGAGGACCUGGGGUCUGACCGGAAGCUGGCUGCAGACCCUGCGGAGGCCCAGCUGUUGUUUUCACGGCUCCGGGACCAGGCGGAUCCUCAGCCAAGAGCUUCCCAGGAGAGCCCUCAUCUUCAACCCCUAGUGGCGACCAGAGCCAGCCCGGGCAGGAGGGGAAGGAAGGCGGCCGCGGCCCCGGGGAAGCCAUCCUGGCAGCUUGGCCACUGGCCCGGCUCCUGUCUGACCAGGAAAGGCAUCAAAGCCGGACUCGGAUGGAGGCUGGAAAACCCCGAGACUUCUGCUGGACUCGACCCAGCCACACACCAGGCUGUGCUCAAGGCCACGGAAUGAGCCUUGACCCUGGCCCCAGACGGAGCCCAGACCUUGCUGGUCACAGGCUGAGCCCUGCUGGCAAUAUGAUGUACUAGAUCCCUUAAAAGGCCUUCCAGCAACAACCAACUUCUGGAUGAAUUACUAUGAGCGUACAUUUUUAAUAGACUGUUGUGUUUCCAAGAAAGUAAAUAUCUCCGAGUCUCCCCCAAAAUUAAACAGCAAAAAUAAAUAAG